Long non-coding RNA from Rattus norvegicus (Norway rat), 1554 nucleotides. RefSeq lists it as uncharacterized. The record is from RefSeq and is a predicted model, not a curated record. Lineage: Eukaryota; Metazoa; Chordata; Mammalia; Rodentia; Muridae.
CAAUGAGACAAAGCUCGGCCUGGAGGAGGAACGGGUCUCUGACGUCACCGCUGCCGCGAUGCGCGCCCCGGCUCUGAGGCUCUCUGAGGCUCUCUGAGGCUGCGAUUCCAGAAUAACGCCUAACCUACUCACCGAGGUUUAGUCAGCUUCUAAGCGCGAAGUGCGUAGGACACCCUCCUCGAAAACUUUAGCAUCCUUAAUGGAGGAUGCGCUUCUGACUAUACAGAUAGCACGCAGGACCCAGUGAUGGCUCAGCCCUUGAUCACAGACUUUACCCGUUGGACUCCAUGACACAUCUAUGGUAUGCUGAGUUUCCUUGCUGUUGAAGACGUCUGCUACUUAACCCAGCUGGAUGAUGCAGAAUUUGCUGUUGUGGUGGGUUCAUGCUCCAAAUUCCAGCCUCACAGCCUGGCCUUCCUGGAUUUUUACCAACCCCAAAGCAGUAUUAGAAGCUUCGUUGAGAGAAGCGUUGCCUGUGUGACAAUCUGAAGUAUGGCUGCGAUCAACUGCAACAAGAGCUAUGAGACAUGACAUGGCUAUUGAAUCUGUGAACUCACUUCAGAUGCUGUUGCCUACCCAAGACACAAGGUCAAGCUAAACAGGAGCAGUCGACGUUCCAGUAGGCAGCAUCGAUUUUCUGUCGGCGUUACCAAAAAAUAAAUAAAUAAAUAAAUAAAUAAAUAAAUAAAUAAAUAAAUAAAAAUAAAAGAAGAGCAUGAAUCAGGAGGAGUAAAAAAAUACUCUUACGAGGCUGUAAUGGUGGGUGCUAUUCGCUGUGCAUUCAUAAACCUCAUAUAAAAUUUAAGCAAUGAAGAAGCUGAGUUUGAAUCUCCAGAACCCAUAUAACCCUGGACCGAGAGCACCUGUGAUUCCAGUACUCCUGUGGGGAAGAUAGGGUUAGCUGGAUUGGUGUACACAGCAGAAAAAAAACCCGGCAGACCCUCUCUCACACCAGAUGGAAGGUGUGGACGGCAUCUGACGUUUCCUUGGCCUCCACGUGUGCUCGUUGACACACACUUGCAUUUGAUUAAGUGAAUGCGCUCACACACAACAUCUGCACAGAAUGUGAACGCUAACUUAAAUGAGGAGUUUGGUGAUAAUGAGAUGCAGGUGGUGGCUCUCCAGUUGUAACAAAUGUAUCAUUCUGGUGCAGGAGAUUAAGGAUGGGGAGGCCCCCCAGUUGUAACAAAUAAUAUCAUUCUGUUAGAGGCUAUUAAGGAUGGGAAGGCUAUAGGUAUGGGGAGGCAAAAGCUGUGGCAAGACGGGAGAAGCAUGAAAAUUCCUUUCAACUUUGCUGCAAACCAGAAACUUCCUUAAGAAAAUGAAAAUACUGUUUGCUUGAUUGAGGCAGGUUCUCCUGUAACCCAGGCUGGACCCAGCAUGUAGAUAAGAAUGACUUCCAACCCCUAAUCCUUCUGUCUCCAUCCCCAGGUUUACAGGAUUACAGAUGUGAACCUCUGUGCCCAUUUUUCUUUGUAAAAGUAUAUAUUCAUGUGUGAGGGUCUUCAUAUACUGUCUUGCCUGAGUAUUAAUGCUUGCCUGAGUUAGAAUUGC